This 656-nucleotide long non-coding RNA is filed under the name Anas platyrhynchos platyrhynchos (common mallard). Its description in RNAcentral is "lncRNA (ENSAPLG00000024579.1)". Lineage: Eukaryota; Metazoa; Chordata; Aves; Anseriformes; Anatidae. The record is from RNAcentral.
AGGUAGCUGAGGAGGUCAGGGGAAGAGGAGGACCAACACGGCCUCCCCAUAACCUUGCAGCAGGUUACCCCGGUGACCAGUACUGCCGAUAGCUGUAUCCAUACUGUUGGCAAGGCCGUGCAGUACCAGCUCUCUGCUCCCUUGCUCGGGCCUGUGGCAAAGGGUUGUGCUGAAGCACGCUCCCCCUGUGCUUUAUCCACAUAGUUUCCUUAUCUGCCAGCAGGAGUCCCCUGGGAUUUCAACCUUUUCCGCUGCUCACGUUCCUAUUAAAAGACAACAAAGAGGAUUUUGAUUGCUAUUCUUUCCUUGAGUAGAGAGUUCAAGCUUGAGAGGUAUGGGUGAGAUGCGCACGUGACCCCACUCCUCUUCCAGCUUCAUGAUGGUAUUCCUCAUCAGAACCAUAAGGGGAAAACUUCAUUUUGUGUCAUUGGGGAAGAUGCCAACAAGACUUAGGAAACUUCUGAGGACUUGCAGAGAGAUGAGCAUUUUUCCCAGCUCCUUGUCCCAGUUGUGAAUCCUUCUCAGUGCUAAGGGCCUAAGAACCAAGCCCUUCCCUUUCUAAGUCACAGCAGGUAAGUGACAUUUCCCUCUUUGCUGUUUCCCAUAGCCAAUGAUACAACGGUAAAAGUAGUCACUUGGAGUCACAUAAAGGGCAC